RNAcentral lists this long non-coding RNA (1714 nucleotides) under Solanum pimpinellifolium. Its description in RNAcentral is "long non-coding RNA (SPIM_LNC000221)". The record is from RNAcentral. Lineage: Eukaryota; Viridiplantae; Streptophyta; Magnoliopsida; Solanales; Solanaceae.
CAAAAACUGAUUGCAAAUUCAAUCAUCCCCCUCACAAUCUUCUAAUGACUGCUCUAGCUGCAACCACCAGUAUGGGAACGCUUAGUCAAGUGCCCAUGGCACCUUCUGCGGCUGCUAUGGCUGCUGCUCAGGCAAUUGUUGCUGCACAAGCUCUUCAAGCACAUGCUGCUCAGGCACAAGCACAGUCUGGAAAAGAUUCCGCUGGUAUUUCUAGCUCUCAUUACUAUCAAUAAAUUCCUCCUAAUUGUUGAUUAUUGCGAGUUAUUCUUAAAAGUUCCUUGCUCCACUAGAACAUUGAUUCUUGAAUUUUUUUUCUGGUACUUCUAUCUCCCAUCAUUGCCCAAUAGUAAUUUAUAUUUUGGUUGUUACUGGGGUCUGUACAUAAACUUUUCUUACUUAGGUUUCUUCAAACUAUUUUGCUGCUAUAGCUUAAAGAGACCAGAUAGGCUCUUACAACUCUCUUUGUUUCUUCCCCAAUCUACUCAUCAUAAAAGAUGAUUUGUAGAAUUAAAAAUGCAUAUAGACAUUUCUGCUAGGUAUUCAUGAGAGUGUACCUCAUUCUACUUGUUCCCUUUAUGUAUCAGGUGACAAAGAUGGAAAGGCCGAAUCCCUUAAAAAAACUGUGCAAGUCAGCAAUCUCAGCCCACUUCUGACAGUGGAUCAGUUGAAACAGCUGUUUGGUUUCUGUGGUGCAAUCAUUGAUUGUAGCAUUACUGAUUCCAAACAUUUUGCUUACAUCGAAUACUCAAAACCUGAAGAAGCAACUGCUGCUUUAGCAUUGAACAAUAUAGAAGUUGGUGGUCGCCCCUUAAAUGUUGAAAUGGCAAAACAACUUCCUCCAAAGGCAGCUAUCUUAAAUUCGUCAAUGGGUUCUUCUUCUUUGCCCUUGAUGAUGCAGCAAGCCGUAGCAAUGCAGCAGAUGCAGUUCCAGCAAGCUCUAUUAAUGCAGCAAGCUAUGACUGAACAACAAGCUGCUAAUCGAGCUGCAACCAUGAAAACUGCUACAGAUUUGGCUGCCGCAAGAGCUGCAGAAAUAAGCAAGAUGUUGAAAGCAAAUGGAUUGGUUUCUGAAGAUAAGGAAACUGAUGAUAAGGCUAAGUAUGUCACCUGAAGUAUUUUUCUUAUAUGCUUAUAAUAUAUCUUAUGUGUUUGGUAAUUGAUCUAACUGGUAUCAGGAAUACCUUGUUUAAUUAUUAAAGUUGGACUUAUUGCACCUGUAGAACAUAGUCACGCCUUGUUUUUAUGAAUAAGUGUGUNCUUUAAUGUUGUAUUUGUAUCACGCAGGCAGUACGACUGGUGGGCUAUUGGGUAUAGCACCGUCAGCCACAUUUCCAAAUAUGGUCAACCAGAACAUGCCUAAUAUGCCAAAUUAUUCUGGUUCUGUAUCUGGGGCAGUCCCAGGAUUGCUUGGGAUGAUACCAGGUAUUGUUCCUGGAGCUUCUGGAGGUGUAGUUUUACCUGGGAUUGGAGCAUCUAUUGGGGAAGUUUGCCGAGAAUACCUUUACGGACGAUGUGCAAAAACUGAUUGCAAAUUCAAUCAUCCCCCUCACAAUCUUCUAAUGACUGCUCUAGCUGCAACCACCAGUAUGGGAACGCUUAGUCAAGUGCCCAUGGCACCUUCUGCGGCUGCUAUGGCUGCUGCUCAGGCAAUUGUUGCUGCACAAGCUCUUCAAGCACAUGCUGCUCAGGCACAAGCACAGUCUGGAAAAGAUUC